Long non-coding RNA from Xenia sp. Carnegie-2017, 336 nucleotides. RefSeq lists it as uncharacterized. Lineage: Eukaryota; Metazoa; Cnidaria; Anthozoa; Malacalcyonacea; Xeniidae. The record is from RefSeq and is a predicted model, not a curated record. The transcript is spliced from 3 exons.
AGAAAAGGUUUCUUUAUUUGAAACAGGCAAUGAGAAUGAUGCAAGCGAUUUUACUGAUCUUCCUGAAAAAAAUGGUCAUAAAAUUUUGGCGCCAUCUGAAAGUGGUAUUUGUUCUUGUGGUGCAGAGUGGGAUAAACGUUCUAUUCAAGAUGAAUGGUUGUACGUAGACUUGUGUUCAGUUGCGUACUUUUGUUCAAUCCAUGAUGUGAAGGUGUAUUGUAGACCUUGCUCCUCUUGUGCUACGAAAAAGCAUUAUGAUGGCAUUGAAAACAGGAUUGUAUGGUUUGGAUCAUAUGCAAUAUCUCAUGCCGUUCUAAAGAUUACAUUCGGCUUUUC